GACAGAGGGUGCAAACGUUGUUCGGAAUUACUGGGCGUAAAGCGCGUGUAGGCGGCUAAGUAAGUCGGGCGUGAAAUCCCACGGCUCAACCGUGGAAGUGCACUCGAAACUGCAUAGCUAGAGUCCUGGAGAGGAAGGUGGAAUGCUUGGUGUAGAGGUGAAAUUCGUAGAUAUUCGGAGGAACACCAGUGGCGAAGGCGGCUCACUGGUCCAUUACUGACGCUGAGGUGCGAAAGCGUGGGGAGCAAACAGG
Molecule: ribosomal RNA, 253 nt
Filed under: uncultured bacterium
Lineage: Bacteria
Description: partial 16S ribosomal RNA
Rfam family: Bacterial small subunit ribosomal RNA
Source: RNAcentral